ACGGAAGGCAGCAGUGGGGAAUAUUGCACAAUGGGCGAAAGCCUGAUGCAGCGACGCCGCGUGAGUGAUGAAGUAUUUCGGUAUGUAAAGCUCUAUCAGCAGGGAAGAUAAUGACGGUACCUGACUAAGAAGCACCGGCUAAAUACGUGCCAGCAGCCGCGGUAAUACGUAUGGUGCAAGCGUUAUCCGGAUUUACUGGGUGUAAAGGGAGCGCAGGCGGUACGGCAAGUCUGAUGCGAAAGCCCGGGGCUCAACCCCGGUACUGCAUUGGAAACUGUCGAACUAGAGUGUCGGAGGGGUAAGUGGAAUUCCUAGUGUAGCGGUGAAAUGCGUAGAUAUUAGGAGGAACACCAGUGGCGAAGGCGACUUACUGGACGAUAACUGACGCUGAGGCUCGAAAGCGUGGGGAGCAAACAGGAUUAGAUACCCUGGUA
Molecule: ribosomal RNA, 434 nt
Filed under: uncultured Roseburia sp.
Lineage: Bacteria; Bacillati; Bacillota; Clostridia; Lachnospirales; Lachnospiraceae
Description: partial 16S ribosomal RNA
Rfam family: Bacterial small subunit ribosomal RNA
Source: RNAcentral